This is a non-coding RNA of Phascolarctos cinereus (koala), 1406 nucleotides long. The record is from RefSeq and is a predicted model, not a curated record. NCBI's taxonomy places the organism in Eukaryota, Metazoa, Chordata, Mammalia, Diprotodontia, Phascolarctidae.
AAGCUGGGGAGCGGCGUUGCCCACAGUCAAGGUGGCGCCCCGGGCGUCACGUGCGCCAGUCCCGGCUCCGCCCCGGAGGGCUCUGGAAGGCGAGGCGGUGCCUGCCCUGCCUGCCCUGCCUGCGCAGCUGGAAAGGUCAGAGCUGCAACCCAGCUGUGGCGAGAGCUGCGUUUCUUCUGGCCUCGGCCGUAGGCGCGUGACAGGGCAGGGCCUGGCCGGGCGUGUGGCUUCCUUGACUGCGGUUGACCCGGAGGCCCGGCACCUUGCGCUGCGGGCCCCGCCUCCUUGGCCGAGGGAGUUUGGAUGACUUGCACAGUAGCGGUGGAGGGUGGGCUGCCUCUUGGUUCCGAGGGGAAGUGAUCCCAGCCUGGGCCCGGACCGCACCUUAUCCCGGUUUAGGAAGGGACCCGGGGUGUCUGCCCCGUUAUUUUACAGAAAAGUUGAUGGACUUGUCCCGGGGCUUGGGAUGGCAGAUUUAGAACCGGAAGGGACUGUGCCCGUGAACUAAGACCCAUCUCUCCUUCACCCCUCGGAAAACCUUAAGAAAUUUGCCCGAGGUUCCAGACGUGCUGGACAUCACGGCCGAGGUUUAAAAUCAUUGUCAAAGCCAAACCCUCCUUUGCCCGAUCCCGAGCCGGGCCCAGCGAGGAAGGUGACCCUGCUCAAGGUCACAGAACUCGCCUCCUCGCUCUUCAGUGCCGCUUCCUAAUGGCUCGCGCAAAAACCCUACCCAUACCUGAAGAACUUUCGAGCACCAACUAAGGGUUUGCCUGCCUAAAUCUGAAGUUCACAGUCAUUAAUCAACGUCCAGCCCUUACCAGGCUGGGAAUCGAUCAUUCCCUUGCAACAAUGUCUGAGCAACUUGCCAGUGGUUUCCAGUAAUUCCUGUCUUGGUGAGAAGAAAAUAGAAAGUAUGCCAUAAAGAAGCACAGAGAAGCAGGACAUCCUUGAAAGACGUAUCUGGAAGAAUAGGAGAAUCGAAGAGAGACGAUAAGACGGUGAUAGUGGAGGAGGAUGAUGUCGACUCUAACUACCUGCACGUCCCCAGCUGAGCCAGUGCUGAUCUAGAGACAUCCCUUGGAUGCAAGGCAACCUCACUGGGAGAACAUUGACAUUGGCCUCCUCUGAUACAUCCAGAGGAAAAUGACAAGGAUGAUAAGAAUUUAAGAUCAUGCAAAAGGAAGCUCAACAAGAAUAUAUUAAGCAACAACUAAGUGUGAAGCAUGUGGAUGGACAGAGCUUCUGAUUACAGGCCAAGCGUGUUCAAAUCUUGCAAAGGUGUAAAUGAGGACAGCCUAAGGCAGACAAUGAAGGGCUUGCCAGACCAAGAAACCUGUAUUUUGCCAACCUGUUCAGGAUUUGAUUACUUUUAAAAGCCCAAGCUACAAAUAAAAACUUCAACAAUC